RNAcentral lists this microRNA precursor (69 nucleotides) under Mus pahari (shrew mouse). RNAcentral's name for it is "microRNA 7019 (MGP_PahariEiJ_G0007575.1)". Lineage: Eukaryota; Metazoa; Chordata; Mammalia; Rodentia; Muridae. The record is from RNAcentral.
AGGGGAUCUGGGAGGGGCUGUCAGGAGUACUGGCAGACUGAGCCUCUGAGCUCGGCCACCUCUCUGCAG